RNAcentral lists this ribosomal RNA (407 nucleotides) under uncultured bacterium. RNAcentral describes it as "partial 16S ribosomal RNA". It matches the Rfam family "Bacterial small subunit ribosomal RNA", at positions 30 to 526 of the family's 1533-position model. The record is from RNAcentral.
AUUGAACGCUGGCGGCAGGCCUAACACAUGCAAGUCGAGCGGAGCGGCGGACGGGUGAGUAAUGCCUAGGAAUCUGCCUGGUAGUGGGGGAUAACGUCCGGAAACGGGCGCUAAUACCGCAUACUCUCAGAUGAGCCUAGGUCGGAUUAGCUAGUUGGUGGGGUAAAGGCCUACCAAGGCGACGAUCCGUAACUGGUCUGAGAGGAUGAUCAGUCACACUGGAACUGCGACACGUCCCAGCCUCCUACGGGAGGCAGGAGGGGGGAAUAUUGCACAAUGGGCGAAAGCCUGCUCCAGCCAUGCCGCGUGUGUGAAUAAGGUCUACGGAUUGUAAAGGUCGUUAAGUUGGGAGGCGUUAUCAACAGAAUAAGCACCGGCUAACUUCGUGCCAGCAGCCGCGGUAAUAC